AGAGUUUGAUCCUGGCUCAGGACGAACGCUGGCGGCAUGCUUAACACAUGCAAGUGGUGCGACGAACCUUUUAGGGGCAAAGCCGCGAACGGGUGAGUAACACGUGGGCAAUCUGCCCAGUAGACCGGAAUAACUCAAGGAAACCUGAGCUAAUACCGGAUGUGCCGUACUUCCAUAAGGAGGUCCGGUAAAGAGAGCUUCGGCUAUUCGCUAUUGGAGGAGCCUGCGGAGUAUUAGGUAGUUGGUGGGGUAAAGGCCUACCAAGCCGACGAUACUUAGCUGGUCUGAGAGGACGAUCAGCCACACUGGAACUGAGACACGGUCCAGACUCCUACGGGAGGCAGCAGUGGGGAAUCUUGCACAAUGGGCGACAGCCUGAUGCAGCAAUGCCGCGUGAGGGAAGACGGCCUUCGGGUUGUAAACCUCUUUCAGUUGGGAAGAAGGGUGGACGGUUAAUAGCCGGCUCACUUGACGGUACCUUCAGAAGAAGCUCCGGCUAACUACGUGCCAGCAGCCGCGGUAAUACGUAGGGAGCAAGCGUUGUCCGGAAUCAUUGGGCGUAAAGCGCGUGUAGGCGGUUACAUAAGUCUGUUGUGAAAGUCGGAGGCUCAACCUUCGAAAGCCGAUGGAUACUGUGUGACUUGAGUACGGGAGAGGAUAGUGGAAUUUCGAGUGUAGGGGUGAAAUCCGUAGAUAUUCGAAGGAACACCGGUGGCGAAGGCGGCUAUCUGGACCGAUACUGACGCUGAGACGCGAAAGCGUGGGGAGCAAACAGGAUUAGAUACCCUGGUAGUCC
This 796-nucleotide ribosomal RNA is filed under the name uncultured bacterium. RNAcentral's name for it is "bacterial SSU rRNA". It matches the Rfam family "Bacterial small subunit ribosomal RNA", at positions 8 to 796 of the family's 1533-position model. The record is from RNAcentral.